RNAcentral lists this ribosomal RNA (464 nucleotides) under Vreelandella stevensii. RNAcentral's name for it is "partial 16S ribosomal RNA". It matches the Rfam family "Bacterial small subunit ribosomal RNA", at positions 338 to 795 of the family's 1533-position model. Lineage: Bacteria; Pseudomonadati; Pseudomonadota; Gammaproteobacteria; Oceanospirillales; Halomonadaceae. The record is from RNAcentral.
CCUACGGGGGCUGCAGUGGGGAAUAUUGGACAAUGGGCGAAAGCCUGAUCCAGCCAUGCCGCGUGUGUGAAGAAGGCCUUCGGGUUGUAAAGCACUUUCAGUGGGGAAGAAAGCCUUGGGGCUAAUACCCUCGAGGAAGGACAUCACCCACAGAAGAAGCACCGGCUAACUCCGUGCCAGCAGCCGCGGUAAUACGGAGGGUGCGAGCGUUAAUCGGAAUUACUGGGCGUAAAGCGCGCGUAGGCGGUCUGAUAAGCCGGUUGUGAAAGCCCCGGGCUCAACCUGGGAAUGGCAUCCGGAACUGUCAGGCUAGAGUGCAGGAGAGGAAGGUAGAAUUCCCGGUGUAGCGGUGAAAUGCGUAGAGAUCGGGAGGAAUACCAGUGGCGAAGGCGGCCUUCUGGACUGACACUGACGCUGAGGUGCGAAAGCGUGGGUAGCAAACAGGAUUAGAUACCCUAGUAGUC